AUUGAACGCUGGCGGCAGGCUUAACACAUGCAAGUCGAGCGGAGAUGAGGUGCUUGCACCUUAUCUUAGCGGCGGACGGGUGAGUAAUGCUUAGGAAUCUGCCUAUUAGUGGGGGACAACAUUCCGAAAGGAAUGCUAAUACCGCAUACGUCCUACGAGAGAAAGCAGGGGAUCUUCGGACCUUGCGCUAAUAGAUGAGCCUAAGUCGGAUUAGCUAGUUGGUGGGGUAAAGGCCUACCAAGGCGACGAUCUGUAGCGGGUCUGAGAGGAUGAUCCGCCACACUGGGACUGAGACACGGCCCAGACUCCUACGGGAGGCAGCAGUGGGGAAUAUUGGACAAUGGGGGAAACCCUGAUCCAGCCAUGCCGCGUGUGUGAAGAAGACCUUAUGGUUGUAAAGCACUUUAAGCGAGGAGGAGGCUACUGAGACUAAUACUCUUGGAUAGUGGACGUUACUCGCAGAAUAAGCACCGGCUAACUCUGUGCCAGCCGCCGCCGUAA
RNAcentral lists this ribosomal RNA (501 nucleotides) under uncultured bacterium. RNAcentral's name for it is "partial 16S ribosomal RNA". It matches the Rfam family "Bacterial small subunit ribosomal RNA", at positions 30 to 523 of the family's 1533-position model. The record is from RNAcentral.